CUUCCUGUUGUAAUGUGCUUUACUCUUGUCACAGUCUGAUAAAUAUUUUAUUUAGAUUUGAAUUCUUGGUUUUAGACAGAAUCUGAAACCAUUCAAAGCAAAUUUAAAUAUACUUUCACACAUACAUUUAAUAUACAGAGUAAAGGUUAAGCGUUUUUGGCGUGCUGUCUGAGGGAAGGGCUCUGAGAUUGGAAUUUAGGCCUGAACCCUGCGUGCCCCUCGGUUUGAGAUAGGAAAAGUUAAUAUUAGUACAAUCUGUAUUGUCUAAAGUGCUUUACAAAUUGUAAUAAUUGAGUUAGAAGUGAGGAGAUGGGGUGGUGGAGGGAUGCUGGAAAACUGUCAAGGAACGGCGAUUCAUUUACAGACAAGACACUAUUCGACACAGGAUUUUCAGAAAGAUUGAAACUAAAAGACGAUGCUGUGCCAACUAUAUUGGAUCCAACAGUAAUGUCACACCAUAUAAUCUUGGAGAUGUUGGAUUAAAACCAAGCCAGAUCCUUCAUUGCCAUACAAAGUUGGCACAAAUAUCGUUCAGUAUUUGGAGGAGUAACAAAGCAAUACCCACAUGUCCUGCAGUUUUAGGAUGAAAUCAAGCCUUUGUUAUUGUAGGAGGAAUGGCACUGAAGCAAGACCAUCUUUACAAGCAGUUAAUAGAUGCUACAUAUUAUUUUACAUUUUGGACACUGAGUAUCCCAAGCCUGUCAACACAUUUUCUCCUAUUUCAACAGUUUGUAAGCAUUGAAAGCAUUAACACAACUCUCUUUAACAAACUGCAUGAUUUGAGGCAUGAUUCAUGUCUGUUACACACUCAGUGAGGAUGAGUAAAGUUUUGUUUAAUUUAAAAAGUAUGAGGCUUAAUAGUGAUUGGUUGUUUUGGCAAGCACUGCAUAUACAAGAAUGAAGCAGUAUGACUGACAGCCACUGUGGCACCAGAUCAGCAGAGUCUGUUCCUGCUGAUGUCAUAAACAGACCUGCUUAUUGCCAGGUGGCAGAGAUGUGCUGAGGUGGUGUGUGGGGAAAUGCUAUUGUGGCAACUAAAAAAUGACUGGAGAGAUUGCACCUGACAAUUUCCUGAACAGAGCAACCAUACUCUCAUAUCUUUGAUUCCAUUCUUUUGUGUUUUCUUAUGACACAUCCUAACUUUGGAGAUGAGAUAAUACUGACUGAAUAACAGGAAAUGAGAAGCAACCUAAAAAAUUAUUAGAAGCAACCUAAAAAUGUCAUAUAAACAUGUUUAUGAGAGAGAAAACUCCUUCAAAGGCUUUCGGAAUGAUACCUUAUUUCUAAGGUCGAUAGCUCAUUACAAUCAAACUCUUUGCCAUUGCAUCAUGUCUUCAUUUCUGAAGCAUCAGCUGUUUUUUCUCCUCAAUGCCCUCUCAUUCACUAUCAUCCUCUUCCACAUAGUCCUCUUUUUACUUUGCGAAUAUUAGCCCAGUGACCUAAAUCUUCCAAUGGAGGGUGAAACUGCCCUAGUGAAAACGUCUGUUUGCCAGCCUGCUAGAUAGUGUUGGUUUGGUUAACAGAUAUGUUGAAUCCAAGCUAACAGCUGUAUUACUGAACUCCAAGCACUCUGUGAAACGAUGUACAGUAUGUGAUACAGAAAUGCAUUGAAAUGUCUUCGGUGUGUAUACGUGUGGGAGAGCUUGCAUGUCUGUGUCAAUGUCUGUUACAAGAUUAGCAUUUGGCUGAGACAAAUUAGUUUGGAAUCCUUUUCUUAUGCCUGACAGUUCAGGAAUAAAUCUGUGCUUGUAAUUUGAGGCUGUUGAUGGUAAUGAAUGUUGAAGUGCGAUCUGCCACGUUUAAAUAUGUAGCAUAAUGUAUUCAGGUCUGUGAAUGGAUGUGAUGAUUCAUGCUAAUUAGCAUUUAGCCGGGUUUGACCUUAGCAUGAAAUCAUAGCUCUCUGGCCUUCACAACUCCAACACUGAUCACUACACAGAGCCACCAUCAGACCAAAACUUCUGCCAUUAUUAUCCUUUAACUAAUGGUCCAGUUGAGGCAAGAAGCAAUGACAAACAAUUGCUGAAAUGUUCUGCGUAGGCCGCUACUUAAAUCAAGCAAAUUUUGUAGUUCUGAAGUAGCAGCUAGACUAGAAGUUCAGUUUGUUUUUAG
Cyprinus carpio carpio is the source of this 2109-nucleotide long non-coding RNA. NCBI's taxonomy places the organism in Eukaryota, Metazoa, Chordata, Actinopteri, Cypriniformes, Cyprinidae. The record is from Ensembl.